RNAcentral lists this ribosomal RNA (865 nucleotides) under uncultured bacterium. Its description in RNAcentral is "bacterial SSU rRNA". It matches the Rfam family "Bacterial small subunit ribosomal RNA", at positions 9 to 916 of the family's 1533-position model. The record is from RNAcentral.
GAGUUUGAUCCUGGCUCAGGAUGAACGCUGGCGGUAUGCUUAAUACAUGCAAGUCGUACGAGGGCUUUUAGCCCUAGCGGCGGACGGGUGAGUAACACGUGAGAAUCUGCCCUUAGGAGGAGGAUAACAGCUGGAAACGGUUGCUAAUACUCCAUAUGCCGAGAGGUGAAAGGAAUUUCUGCCUAAGGAGGAGCUCGCGUCUGAUUAGCUAGUUGGUAGGGUAAAGGCCUACCAAGGCGACGAUCAGUAGCUGGUUUGAGAGGAUGAUCAGCCACACUGGGACUGAGACACGGCCCAGACUCCUACGGGAGGCAGCAGUAGGGAAUUUUCCGCAAUGGGCGAAAGCCUGACGGAGCAAUACCGCGUGAGGGAUGACGGCCUGUGGGUUGUAAACCUCUUUUCUCAAGGAAGAAGUUCUGACGGUACUUGAGGAAUAAGCAUCGGCUAACUCUGUGCCAGCAGCCGCGGUAAUACAGAGGAUGCAAGCGUUAUCCGGAAUCACUGGGCAUAAAGCGUCUGUAGGUGGUUUGGUAAGUCUGCUGUUAAGGACCGGGGCUCAACCCCAGAAAAGCAGUGGAAACUGCCAGACUUGAGUGUGGUAGAGGUAAAGGGAAUUCCUAGUGUAGCGGUGAAAUGCGUAGAUAUUAGGAAGAACACCAAUGGCGAAGGCACUUUACUGGGCCAUAACUGACACUGAGAGACGACAGCUAGGGGAGCAAAUGGGAUUAGAUACCCCAGUAGUCCUAGCCGUAAACGAUGGAUACUAGAUGUUGCACGUAUUAACCCGUGCAGUAUCGUAGCUAAGGCGUUAAGUUUCCCGCCUGGGAAGUACGCUCGCAAGAGUGAAACUCAAAGGAAUUGACGG